UGCCAGCAGCCGCGGUAAUACGUAGGGUGCAAGCGUUGUCCGGAAUUAUUGGGCGUAAAGAGCUCGUAGGCGGUUUGUCGCGUCUGCUGUGAAAACUGGAGGCUCAACCUCCAGCCUGCAGUGGGUACGGGCAGACUAGAGUGCGGUGGGGGAGAUUGGAAUUCCUGGUGUAGCGGUGGAAUGCGCAGAUAUCAGGAGGAACACCAAUGGCGAAGGCAGAUCUCUGGGCCGUAACUGACGCUGAGGAGCGAAAGCAUGGGGAGCGAACAGGAUUAGAUACCCUGGUAGUCCAUGCCGUAAACGUUGGGAACUAGAUGUAGGGUCCAUUCCACGGAUUCUGUGUCGCAGCUAACGCAUUAAGUUCCCCGCCUGGGGAGUACGGCCGCAAGGCUAAGACUCAAAGGAAUUGACGGGGGCCCGCACAAG
This 426-nucleotide ribosomal RNA is filed under the name uncultured bacterium. RNAcentral describes it as "bacterial SSU rRNA". It matches the Rfam family "Bacterial small subunit ribosomal RNA", at positions 506 to 929 of the family's 1533-position model. The record is from RNAcentral.